Molecule: ribosomal RNA, 1404 nt
Filed under: uncultured bacterium
Lineage: Bacteria
Description: partial 16S ribosomal RNA
Rfam family: Bacterial small subunit ribosomal RNA
Source: RNAcentral
AGAGUUUGAUCCUGGCUCAGGAUGAACGCUAGCGGCAGGCUUAACACAUGCAAGUCGAGGGGCAGCGGGGAGGAAGCUUGCUUUCUCCGCCGGCGACCGGCGCACGGGUGAGUAACACGUAUGCAACCUGCCCCUGUCAGGGGGACAACCCGCCGAAAGGCGGGCUAAACCCGCGUACAUGCCACCGGGGCAUCCCGGAGGCAGGAAAGGCUUCGGCCGGACAGGGAUGGGCAUGCGGCGCAUUAGGCAGUAGGCGGGGUAACGGCCCACCUAACCGACGAUGCGUAGGGGUUCUGAGAGGAAGGUCCCCCACACUGGUACUGAGACACGGACCAGACUCCUACGGGAGGCAGCAGUGAGGAAUAUUGGUCAAUGGUCGGGAGACUGAACCAGCCAAGCCGCGUGAGGGAGGAAGGUACAGAGUAUCGUAAACCUCUUUUGUCAGGGAACAAAGGCGGGGACGUGUCCCCGGAUGAGUGUACCUGAAGAAAAAGCAUCGGCUAACUCCGUGCCAGCAGCCGCGGUAAUACGGAGGAUGCGAGCGUUAUCCGGAUUUAUUGGGUUUAAAGGGUGCGCAGGCGGUCUGUUAAGUCAGCGGUCAAAGCCCGGGGCUCAACCCCGGCCCGCCGUUGAAACUGGCAGUCUCGAGUUGGAGAGAAGUAUGCGGAAUGCGCGGUGUAGCGGUGAAAUGCAUAGAUAUCGCGCAGAACUCCGAUUGCGAAGGCAGCAUGCCGGCUCCACACUGACGCUGAGGCACGAAAGCGUGGGUAUCGAACAGGAUUAGAUACCCUGGUAGUCCACGCAGUAAACGAUGAAUGCUGGCUGUCCGGGGGGACUGACCCCUGGGUGGCGAAGCGAAAGCGAUAAGCAUUCCACCUGGGGAGUACGCCGGCAACGGUGAAACUCAAAGGAAUUGACGGGGGCCCGCACAAGCGGAGGAACAUGUGGUUUAAUUCGAUGAUACGCGAGGAACCUUACCCGGGCUCAAACGGGGAGUGACUCAGGCAGAGACGCCUGUUUCCCACGGGACACUCCCCGAGGUGCUGCAUGGUUGUCGUCAGCUCGUGCCGUGAGGUGUCGGCUUAAGUGCCAUAACGAGCGCAACCCCCGCGUGCAGUUGCUAACAGAUAACGCUGAGGACUCUGCACGGACUGCCGGCGCAAGCCGCGAGGAAGGCGGGGAUGACGUCAAAUCAGCACGGCCCUUACGUCCGGGGCGACACACGUGUUACAAUGGGUGGUACAGCGGGAAGCCAGGCGGCGACGCCGAGCGGAACCCGAAAUCCACUCUCAGUUCGGAUCGGAGUCUGCAACCCGACUCCGUGAAGCUGGAUUCGCUAGUAAUCGCGCAUCAGCCAUGGCGCGGUGAAUACGUUCCCGGGCCUUGUACUCACCGCCCGUCAAG